CUCAUCUGCAUACUGGUCGCUCCUCUGGCCUCCCAUUGGCUGAAGAGGCGCGUUACGUCAUUGUUUUUUCAAACCUCACUCCAAAUAAGGGUUUCCGCGUGUUAGACCGAGCGCACUGUAAGAAAUGGAACUUUUAAGAUAAAAACAACACUUAAUGAGAUGAACACGUGUGACUGCUGGAGGUGCAAACACGCUUUAAACAUGUUAACAGUGGCUGCUGGUGUUCAUGUUUCUUGGUUGAGUUGUGGUGCCACAUCAAAUCAAUUUCAUCAAACAUCCUGGUGUGAUUUGAUGCAAAAAAAGUGAAGGCCUGCGCACUGACUCCUCAUCCAUCUCAGUGGAGACGAGACUGUACUACUGAAGCUCGGAUCUGUAUUCACUUCCUCCAACCUCACAGACUUCCUUCAGAUUUCGGAGGAUUAACUGGUUUCAUGCCCGCUGCUUCUCUCCAGGGAACAAGAAACGUCUGGAAAGCCUGGAAACAGAUCUCUGAGCGGGAGAGAAGAAGUCAAUGAGACGCUAAGAACAUGCUGGCGAUGAAGAGGAGGAUGAGGAAGAAGGAGAAGAAGAAGGAGAAGAUGGUCCGGAUUAGAAACCGGUCCGCUCCGGAACGAGAAUUAAUAUUAUAAAUGUGAUUUUAAUUAUUACUAUAAUAAUAAUGUGUCUUCAGUAAUUAUCCUUC
Molecule: long non-coding RNA, 682 nt
Organism: Sebastes umbrosus (honeycomb rockfish)
Lineage: Eukaryota; Metazoa; Chordata; Actinopteri; Perciformes; Sebastidae
Exons: 3
Source: RefSeq, a predicted model, not a curated record